CAGUCGCCACGGUAAAACGUAGGUGGCAAGCGUUGUCCGGAAUUAUUGGGCGUAAAGGGCUCGCAGGCGGUUUCUUAAGUCUGAUGUGAAAGCCCCCGGCUCAACCGGGGAGGGUCAUUGGAAACUGGGAAACUUGAGUGCAGAAGAGGAGAGUGGAAUUCCACGUGUAGCGGUGAAAUGCGUAGAGAUGUGGAGGAACACCAGUGGCGAAGGCGACUCUCUGGUCUGUAACUGACGCUGAGGAGCGAAAGCGUGGGGAGCGAACAGGAUUAGAUACCCGCGUAGUCCCUGUCUCUUAUAA
This 301-nucleotide ribosomal RNA is filed under the name uncultured bacterium. RNAcentral describes it as "partial 16S ribosomal RNA". It matches the Rfam family "Bacterial small subunit ribosomal RNA", at positions 509 to 809 of the family's 1533-position model. The record is from RNAcentral.